GGAAUAUUGGACAAUGGGCGAAAGCCUGAUCCAGCGACGCCGCGUGUGUGAAGAAGGCCUGCGGGUUGUAAAGCACUUUUGAUGGGAACGAAAUGUGCCGGGUGAAUACCCCGGCAAGCUGACGUGACUCAAUGAAGACGAACCGGCUAAACCUGUGCCAGCAGCCGCGGUAAUACAGAGGGUGCGAGCGUUAAUCGGAAUUACUGGGCGUAAAGCGCACGUAGGUGGCGACGUAAGUCGGGUGUGAAAGCCCCGGGCUCAACCUGGGAAUUGCAUUCGAGACUGCAUUGCUGGAGUACGGAAGAGGAGGGCGGAAUUCCCGGUGUAGCGGUGAAAUGCGUAGAUAUCGGGAGGAACAUCAGUGGCGAAGGCGGCCCUCUGGUCCAGUACUGACACUCAAGUGCGAAAGCGUGGGGAGCAAA
RNAcentral lists this ribosomal RNA (422 nucleotides) under uncultured bacterium. RNAcentral describes it as "bacterial SSU rRNA". It matches the Rfam family "Bacterial small subunit ribosomal RNA", at positions 358 to 772 of the family's 1533-position model. The record is from RNAcentral.